UACAGAGGUCUCAAGCGUUGUUCGGAUUCAUUGGGCGUAAAGGGUGCGUAGGCGGCACAGCAAGUCGGGAGUGAAAGCCCGGGGCUCAACCCCGGAAUGGCUUUCGAAACUGCUGAGCUAGAGUACAGAAGGGGCAACCGGAAUUCCCAGUGUAGCGGUGAAAUGCGUAGAUAUUGGGAAGAACACCUGAGGCGAAGGCGGGUUGCUAGGCUGAUACUGACGCUGAGGCGCGAAAGCCAGGGGAGCAAACGGG
This 253-nucleotide ribosomal RNA is filed under the name uncultured bacterium. Its description in RNAcentral is "partial 16S ribosomal RNA". It matches the Rfam family "Bacterial small subunit ribosomal RNA", at positions 524 to 776 of the family's 1533-position model. The record is from RNAcentral.